This 352-nucleotide unclassified non-coding RNA is filed under the name soil metagenome. RNAcentral describes it as "partial contains 5.8S ribosomal RNA, internal transcribed spacer 2, and large subunit ribosomal RNA". The stretch from base 1 to 120 matches the Rfam family "5.8S ribosomal RNA", at positions 35 to 154 of the family's 154-position model. The record is from RNAcentral.
GACGAAGAACGUAGCGAAAUGCGAUAAGUAAUGUGAAUUGCAGAAUUCAGUGAAUCAUCGAAUCUUUGAACGCACAUUGCGCCCGCCAGUAUUCUGGCGGGCAUGCCUGUUCGAGCGUCAUUACAACCCUCAGGCCCCCGGGCCUGGCGUUGGGGAUCGGCGGAAGCCCCCUGCGGGCACAACGCCGUCCCCCAAAUACAGUGGCGGUCCCGCCGCAGCUUCCAUUGCGUAGUAGCUAACACCUCGCAACUGGAGAGCGGCGCGGCCACGCCGUAAAACACCCAACUUCUGAAUGUUGACCUCGAAUCAGGUAGGAAUACCCGCUGAACUUAAGCAUAUCAUAAGCGGUGGA